GAUGAAGAACGCAGCGAAAUGCGAUAAGUAAUGUGAAUUGCAGAAUUCAGUGAAUCAUCGAAUCUUUGAACGCAUCUUGCGCUCCUUGGUAUUCUGAGGAGCAUGCCUGUUUGAGUGUCAUUAAAUUCUCAACUACACUGACUUUGAAUUGGUGUGGCUUGGAUUUGGGGGGAAAAUUGUUGUGGGCUUUUUGUAUAGUCUGCUCCCCUGAAAUUGAUUAGCGGUACCUUUGUGGAACUGUCUACAGGUGUGAUAAUUAUCUACAUCUUAGACAUCUGCUGGAAUGCUGCUUUCUAAACCUUACUUGUAUUGACAAUCUUGACCUCAAAUCAGGUAGGACUACCCGCUGACCUUAAGCAUAUCAAUAAGCGGAGGA
RNAcentral lists this unclassified non-coding RNA (376 nucleotides) under soil metagenome. RNAcentral describes it as "partial contains 5.8S ribosomal RNA, internal transcribed spacer 2, and large subunit ribosomal RNA". The stretch from base 1 to 120 matches the Rfam family "5.8S ribosomal RNA", at positions 35 to 154 of the family's 154-position model. The record is from RNAcentral.